Molecule: long non-coding RNA, 1558 nt
Filed under: Equus caballus (horse)
Lineage: Eukaryota; Metazoa; Chordata; Mammalia; Perissodactyla; Equidae
Description: lncRNA (ENSECAG00000048021.1)
Source: RNAcentral
UGAGCUAAUUUUACUCAGUGACAGGGCACAGUUUUCCAGUGAUUGUCAUCAACCAUCCAUCCCUUGUGUUUCCCUCACCACCUGAGAUGUACAGUUAGCAGGUGUCAUCAUGGUACUUUGUUUUCUGGCAGGGUUAUCCUUACAUCUUUUAACAUAGUAGCAGCUUCUUUUCUUCUUUCGAAACCAGUAAGCUUUCCCUGUUGUGUCUUGCAGGAAAGAGGUGAGGUCUUAUGUUGACUUAAUUUCUUUGUCUAGUUUAAAUUUUCUGUGAUGCUUCCUCUCUGCCAUAACAUCAGUUUCUAAUAAUUUCAGUGCUGCUUUAUGUAGAUUUGAACCAAGAAAUAGAGAUCAUUUGCUUGUUUUUGUUUCACACAUUUGAAGAUUCAAGAGUGGCUGAAAAAAAUCAGUUAAAUGAAAUCAAGAUGCGCUGAUGCCAUAAAGAUGUUUUGCUUACCAGAAAUAUCAAGCCAGGAGCCGGCCCAGUGUCUGAGUGGUUAAGUUCGCCGGCUCCCCUUUGGCGGCCCAGGGUUUCGCCGGUUCGGAUCCUGGGCGUGGACAUGGUACUGCUCAUCAAGCCAUGCUGAGGCGGCGUCCCACAUGCCACAACUAGAAGGACCCACAAUUAAAAAUACACAACUAUGCACCAGGGAGCUUUGGGGAGAAAAAGGAAAAAAAAUAAAUAAAAUCUUUAAGAAUAAAUAAAAAAAGAAAAAGAAAUCUGAAGCCAUUCUACCCCAUUCUCCUCUGGCCACUAAAUUCAUGAACAAUAUCCAGCUAUUUAUUUUGGGAUCAAGUUGUGGUUAAGAGUCUGGGCUCUAAAGUUAUGCUGCAUGGGUUCAAAUCCCAUCUCGGACACUUAAUGGCUCUGUAACGUUGGGCAGUACUUCAUUGCUCUACGCCUGUUUCACUUUCUGAAUAGUAGGAUCAACAUAUUAAAUCAUCAUAACCAUGGGCCGAUUAAAGAGUAGAUGUAUGCAAUGAACACAGUACAAGGCACUUGACCAAAAAAAAAAAAAAUCUCAAUAUUCAUUAUUGAUCAUUGAUGGUGGGACCAGUAGUAAUGCUAUUGCUGGCUCAAGUAAUAGUUCAAGUAAUAAUUUACUCAAGCAAGUAAUUCACUCACGUCAAAUAAAUAACCCCUUGCCAUGCCACAUAUUUCAUAUUCUAAGCAGACAUAUCCUUCCAAACAGGGUGAACAUCCAGCUAGCCACAGUUGUAAGAUGCAGUAACAGAGACAUAUAGAUCUAGGCAAACAACCUGAGUUUCCCUUAUUAUCAUAUUAGAAGAGCGUUUCUCUGAAACUGGGUAAUGAUAUUUAUCACCUUCUGUACCCUGCCUCAGCCAGGGAGGGGGGAACCACAGCCCUAGGUGAGUGACUCCUGGAUCGUGAACAUACCUCUGAAUGUGAAGCUCUGUGUUCACGGGGCUUAAGAUUUGCCAACUUGAUGUGGUUCUGGCUCAUGCUGGCUAAUACUAACCGCUUGGGCAGCUAAAAUGCGGCUAUCUUCUUAGCACCCUUUUAGAAUAGAAAUGUAUCUGUUGAGGUAUAAAUUCUCUG